RNAcentral lists this ribosomal RNA (497 nucleotides) under uncultured bacterium. RNAcentral describes it as "partial 16S ribosomal RNA". It matches the Rfam family "Bacterial small subunit ribosomal RNA", at positions 28 to 507 of the family's 1533-position model. The record is from RNAcentral.
GAUGAACGCUGGCGGCGUGCCUAAUACAUGCAAGUCGAGCGAACAGACGAGGAGCUUGCUCCUCUGACGUUAGCGGCGGACGGGUGAGUAACACGUGGAUAACCUACCUAUAAGACUGGGAUAACUUCGGGAAACCGGAGCUAAUACCGGAUAAUAUAUUGAACCGCAUGGUUCAAUAGUGAAAGACGGUUUUGCUGUCACUUAUAGAUGGAUCCGCGCCGCAUUAGCUAGUUGGUAAGGUAACGGCUUACCAAGGCAACGAUGCGUAGCCGACCUGAGAGGGUGAUCGGCCACACUGAAACUGAGACACGGUCCAGACUCCUACGGGAGGCAGCAGUAGGGAAUCUUCCGCAAUGGGCGAAAGCUUGACGGGGCAACGCCGCGUGAGUGAUGAAGGUCUUCGGAUCGUAAAACUCUGUUAUUAGGGAAGAACAAAUGUGUAAGUAACUAUGCACGUCUUGACGGUACCUAAUCAGAAAGCCACGGCUAACUACGUG